GGGUGCGAUCAUACCAACGUUAAUGCAUCGGAUCACAUCAUAACUAAGCAGUUAAGUGGGCUUGGGCUAGAGUAGUACUUGGAUGGGUGACCUCCCAGGAAGUCAUAGUGUUGCACCCU
Picea glauca (white spruce) is the source of this 119-nucleotide non-coding RNA. The record is from Rfam. Lineage: Eukaryota; Viridiplantae; Streptophyta; Pinopsida; Pinales; Pinaceae.